AGCAAACCCGCAAGGUAAGAAAACACGAAGACUUUGAGGCAGGAAGGACAGAUACAAUGGGAACUCACUCUCCUGACUGAAGAACCAGACUUCAUUUCAAGCCCCAGAGCUGAAUCUUCUGAGAGACCAGCAAAAAAGAAUGGAGAGCAUCCUGGGGAUGCCCCUGGUGAUCCUGUGGAUUCAGCUGUGCAGAGUAAACAGCCAACAAGGAGAAGAGAUUCCCUGGGCUCUGAGCAUCCAGGAGGGGGAAAACGCCACUGUGAGCUGCAGUUACCAAACUGCUAUUACCAACCUGUGCUGGUAUCGACAGGAGGCCGGUGGAGGUCCUACCCCACUGAUUUUAAUUCGUUCAAAUGAGAGAGAGAAACACAGUGGAAGACUGAGAGCCACCCUUGACACCGCCACCAAAACCAGCUCCCUGUCCAUCACAGCUGCCCGGGACACAGACGCUGCUGCUUACUUCUGUGCUACAGAGGCACAGUGUGCAGCGGGCACCUGCAGCACCACACAAACCCCCGGCUGCUUUCUGGGCAUGAACUUGCAACGGGAAGCAAACUCCAGGCUCAGUUCUGCCAUCCUGGCUACCUAUGCUCAGGCUUAUCAUCAGUGUAGCAGCCUUUGAUUUUUGUCAUUUGAUAUGAAAGACUUGGAUCUCUGAGCACGGAAAGCUUCCUGCUCUAAUUCUAGUGUAACGGCAACAAUCGGGCUGUAUUCCACAAAAGACUGAAGGGCUCUAUUUUGAACAAAAAGAGUUUAUUAAAUAAAUUUAGACCAGUCACCGCUCAUCUCUGACUUACAGGAACGUGGGCCCCAGCCUGCCUUUGUUCCCACCUUAUAUACAUUUUUGAUUUCCAUGGUAACAGAUUGGAAUGUUGUAGCCCUGGCCACACCUUGUUUUCCUUGGCCACGUGCCCGGGUCAGGUGCCCAACCACAAUGAAAUACUUUCUGUACUCUGUGCUAUAUGUCCCCCUUUAGAUUA
This is a non-coding RNA of Chinchilla lanigera (long-tailed chinchilla), 980 nucleotides long. Lineage: Eukaryota; Metazoa; Chordata; Mammalia; Rodentia; Chinchillidae. The record is from the annotation of a RefSeq genome assembly.